RNAcentral lists this ribosomal RNA (277 nucleotides) under Suzukiozyma palmioleophila. RNAcentral's name for it is "[Candida] palmioleophila partial 28S ribosomal RNA". It matches the Rfam family "Eukaryotic large subunit ribosomal RNA", at positions 1 to 275 of the family's 3401-position model. Lineage: Eukaryota; Fungi; Ascomycota; Pichiomycetes; Serinales; Debaryomycetaceae. The record is from RNAcentral.
GUUUGACCUCAAAUCAGGUAGGAUUACCCGCUGAACUUAAGCAUAUCAAUAAGCGGAGGAAAAGAAACCAACAGGGAUUGCCUUAGUAACGGCGAGUGAAGCGGCAAAAGCUCAAAUUUGAAAUCUGGCACCUUCGGUGUCCGAGUUGUAAUUUGAAGAAGUAACCUUGGGGUUGGCUCUUGUCUAUGUUUCUUGGAACAGACGUCACAGAGGGUGAGAAUCCCGUGCGAUGAGAUGCCCAAUUCUAUGUAAGUGCUUUCGAAGAGUCGAGUUGUGU